Sphaeramia orbicularis (orbiculate cardinalfish) is the source of this 124-nucleotide long non-coding RNA. RefSeq lists it as uncharacterized. The record is from RefSeq and is a predicted model, not a curated record. NCBI's taxonomy places the organism in Eukaryota, Metazoa, Chordata, Actinopteri, Kurtiformes, Apogonidae. The transcript has 3 exons.
GUGCAAAUGUCACGUAUCACUGGUCUAUGAGUAAAAUGCCUCCAGAAUAAAAGUAGUGAAACUUUACCAAGUUUGUGUCACUGAUAAGGAAAAAUUCAGUCCAAAAUGCUGUUUGGUUGUAAUU